GGAUUUAGCUCAGCGGUAGAGCGCUUGCCUAGCAAGCACAAGGCCCUGGGUUCGGUCCCCAGCUCCG
Molecule: non-coding RNA, 67 nt
Organism: Rattus norvegicus (Norway rat)
Lineage: Eukaryota; Metazoa; Chordata; Mammalia; Rodentia; Muridae
Source: Rfam